UAGGGAAUAUUGGUUAAUCUGCGAAAGCGGGAACCAGCAACGCCGCGUGCACGAUGAAGGCCUUCGGGUUGUAAAGUGCUUUUUGAGAGGAUGAGGAAGGACAGUACUCUUAGAAUAAGCUUCGGCUAACUACGUGCCAGCAGCCGCGGUAAAACGUAGGAGGCGAGCGUUAUCCGGAUUUACUGGGCGUAAAGCGUGUGUAGGCGGUUUGAUAAGUUGGAUGUGAAAGCUCCCGGCUCAACUGGGAGAGGUCGUUCAAAACUAUCAGACUUGAGAGUGGUAGAGGGAGGUGGAAUUCCGCGUGUAGUGGUGAAAUGCGUAGAUAUGCGGAGGAACACCAGUGGCGAAAGCGGCCUCCUGGCCCAUUUCUGACGCUCAGACACGAAAGCUAAGGUAGCAAACGG
Molecule: ribosomal RNA, 404 nt
Filed under: uncultured bacterium
Lineage: Bacteria
Description: bacterial SSU rRNA
Rfam family: Bacterial small subunit ribosomal RNA
Source: RNAcentral